UACGGAGGGGGCAAGCGUUAUUCGGAAUUAUUGGGCGUAAAGGGCGCGUAGGCGGCCCUGUAAGUCAAAGGUGAAAGCCCUCGGCUCAACCGAGGAACAGCCCUUGAUACUGCAGGGCUCGAGGCCGGGAGAGGGUGGUGGAAUUCCCAGUGUAGCGGUGAAAUGCGUAGAUAUUGGGAGGAACACCCGUGGCGAAGGCGGCCACCUGGACCGGAUCUGACGCUGAGGCGCGAAAGCGUGGGGAGCAAACAGG
This 253-nucleotide ribosomal RNA is filed under the name uncultured bacterium. Its description in RNAcentral is "partial 16S ribosomal RNA". It matches the Rfam family "Bacterial small subunit ribosomal RNA", at positions 524 to 776 of the family's 1533-position model. The record is from RNAcentral.